This 253-nucleotide ribosomal RNA is filed under the name uncultured bacterium. RNAcentral describes it as "partial 16S ribosomal RNA". It matches the Rfam family "Bacterial small subunit ribosomal RNA", at positions 524 to 776 of the family's 1533-position model. The record is from RNAcentral.
UACGGGGGGGGCAAGCGUUGUUCGGAAUUACUGGGCGUAAAGGGCUCGUAGGUGGCCAACUAAGUCAGACGUGAAAUCCCUCGGCUUAACCGGGGAACUGCAUCUGAUACUGGAUGGCUUGAGUUUGGGAGAGGGACGCGGAAUUCCAGGUGUAGCGGUGAAAUGCGUAGAUAUCUGGAGGAACACCGGUGGCGAAGGCGGCAUCCUGGACCAACACUGACACUGAGGAGCGAAAGCCAGGGGAGCAAACGGG